RNAcentral lists this ribosomal RNA (2925 nucleotides) under Escherichia coli. Its description in RNAcentral is "bacterial LSU rRNA". It matches the Rfam family "Bacterial large subunit ribosomal RNA". The record is from RNAcentral. Lineage: Bacteria; Pseudomonadati; Pseudomonadota; Gammaproteobacteria; Enterobacterales; Enterobacteriaceae.
GGGUUGUGAGGUUAAGCGACUAAGCGUACACGGUGGAUGCCCUGGCAGUCAGAGGCGAUGAAGGACGUGCUAAUCUGCGAUAAGCGUCGGUAAGGUGAUAUGAACCGUUAUAACCGGCGAUUUCCGAAUGGGGAAACCCAGUGUGAUUCGUCACACUAUCAUUAACUGAAUCCAUAGGUUAAUGAGGCGAACCGGGGGAACUGAAACAUCUAAGUACCCCGAGGAAAAGAAAUCAACCGAGAUUCCCCCAGUAGCGGCGAGCGAACGGGGAGCAGCCCAGAGCCUGAAUCAGUGUGUGUGUUAGUGGAAGCGUCUGGAAAGGCGUGCGAUACAGGGUGACAGCCCCGUACACAAAAAUGCACAUACUGUGAGCUCGAUGAGUAGGGCGGGACACGUGGUAUCCUGUCUGAAUAUGGGGGGACCAUCCUCCAAGGCUAAAUACUCCUGACUGACCGAUAGUGAACCAGUACCGUGAGGGAAAGGCGAAAAGAACCCCGGCGAGGGGAGUGAAAAAGAACCUGAAACCGUGUACGUACAAGCAGUGGGAGCCUCUUAAUGGGGUGACUGCGUACCUUUUGUAUAAUGGGUCAGCGACUUAUAUUCUGUAGCAAGGUUAACCGAAUAGGGGAGCCGAAGGGAAACCGAGUCUUAACUGGGCGUUAAGUUGCAGGGUAUAGACCCGAAACCCGGUGAUCUAGCCAUGGGCAGGUUGAAGGUUGGGUAACACUAACUGGAGGACCGAACCGACUAAUGUUGAAAAAUUAGCGGAUGACUUGUGGCUGGGGGUGAAAGGCCAAUCAAACCGGGAGAUAGCUGGUUCUCCCCGAAAGCUAUUUAGGUAGCGCCUCGUGAAUUCAUCUCCGGGGGUAGAGCACUGUUUCGGCAAGGGGGUCAUCCCGACUUACCAACCCGAUGCAAACUGCGAAUACCGGAGAAUGUUAUCACGGGAGACACACGGCGGGUGCUAACGUCCGUCGUGAAGAGGGAAACAACCCAGACCGCCAGCUAAGGUCCCAAAGUCAUGGUUAAGUGGGAAACGAUGUGGGAAGGCCCAGACAGCCAGGAUGUUGGCUUAGAAGCAGCCAUCAUUUAAAGAAAGCGUAAUAGCUCACUGGUCGAGUCGGCCUGCGCGGAAGAUGUAACGGGGCUAAACCAUGCACCGAAGCUGCGGCAGCGACACUAUGUGUUGUUGGGUAGGGGAGCGUUCUGUAAGCCUGUGAAGGUGUACUGUGAGGUAUGCUGGAGGUAUCAGAAGUGCGAAUGCUGACAUAAGUAACGAUAAAGCGGGUGAAAAGCCCGCUCGCCGGAAGACCAAGGGUUCCUGUCCAACGUUAAUCGGGGCAGGGUGAGUCGACCCCUAAGGCGAGGCCGAAAGGCGUAGUCGAUGGGAAACAGGUUAAUAUUCCUGUACUUGGUGUUACUGCGAAGGGGGGACGGAGAAGGCUAUGUUGGCCGGGCGACGGUUGUCCCGGUUUAAGCGUGUAGGCUGGUUUUCCAGGCAAAUCCGGAAAAUCAAGGCUGAGGCGUGAUGACGAGGCACUACGGUGCUGAAGCAACAAAUGCCCUGCUUCCAGGAAAAGCCUCUAAGCAUCAGGUAACAUCAAAUCGUACCCCAAACCGACACAGGUGGUCAGGUAGAGAAUACCAAGGCGCUUGAGAGAACUCGGGUGAAGGAACUAGGCAAAAUGGUGCCGUAACUUCGGGAGAAGGCACGCUGAUAUGUAGGUGAAGUCCCUCGCGGAUGGAGCUGAAAUCAGUCGAAGAUACCAGCUGGCUGCAACUGUUUAUUAAAAACACAGCACUGUGCAAACACGAAAGUGGACGUAUACGGUGUGACGCCUGCCCGGUGCCGGAAGGUUAAUUGAUGGGGUUAGCGGUAACGCGAAGCUCUUGAUCGAAGCCCCGGUAAACGGCGGCCGUAACUAUAACGGUCCUAAGGUAGCGAAAUUCCUUGUCGGGUAAGUUCCGACCUGCACGAAUGGCGUAAUGAUGGCCAGGCUGUCUCCACCCGAGACUCAGUGAAAUUGAACUCGCUGUGAAGAUGCAGUGUACCCGCGGCAAGACGGAAAGACCCCGUGAACCUUUACUAUAGCUUGACACUGAACAUUGAGCCUUGAUGUGUAGGAUAGGUGGGAGGCUUUGAAGUGUGGACGCCAGUCUGCAUGGAGCCGGCCUUGAAAUACCACCCUUUAAUGUUUGAUGUUCUAACGUUGGCCCCUGACCGGGGUUGCGGACAGUGUCUGGUGGGUAGUUUGACUGGGGCGGUCUCCUCCUAAAGAGUAACGGAGGAGCACGAAGGUUGGCUAAUCCUGGUCGGACAUCAGGAGGUUAGUGCAAUGGCAUAAGCCAGCUUGACUGCGAGCGUGACGGCGCGAGCAGGUGCGAAAGCAGGUCAUAGUGAUCCGGUGGUUCUGAAUGGAAGGGCCAUCGCUCAACGGAUAAAAGGUACUCCGGGGAUAACAGGCUGAUACCGCCCAAGAGUUCAUAUCGACGGCGGUGUUUGGCACCUCGAUGUCGGCUCAUCACAUCCUGGGGCUGAAGUAGGUCCCAAGGGUAUGGCUGUUCGCCAUUUAAAGUGGUACGCGAGCUGGGUUUAGAACGUCGUGAGACAGUUCGGUCCCUAUCUGCCGUGGGCGCUGGAGAACUGAGGGGGGCUGCUCCUAGUACGAGAGGACCGGAGUGGACGCAUCACUGGUGUUCGGGUUGUCAUGCCAAUGGCACUGCCCGGUAGCUAAAUGCGGAAGAGAUAAGUGCUGAAAGCAUCUAAGCACGAAACUUGCCCCGAGAUGAGUUCUCCCUGACUCCUUGAGAGUCCUGAAGGAACGUUGAAGACGACGACGUUGAUAGGCCGGGUGUGUAAGCGCAGCGAUGCGUUGAGCUAACCGGUACUAAUGAACCGUGAGGCUUAACCUUACAACGCCGAAG